CAAAAUAAAAGUAAAUGCAUGCACGUUUAAUUGAAGCUUUUGGUGAUGCAAGUCUUGAUUGUUAUAGAUAAAAGAGGAAGGGAAUAUAGGGCAAUGGAGAAUUUUUUAGUUGUAACAGAAAUACGGAUAGUACACCAUAUGUUUUUAUGUAAGUGGUGAAAAAUUUUAAUUUUUAAAUUAUUAACAUUUUAACACACAUAACCCACAAUUUAUAUAAAGACACAUAGUGUACUAUCUCGUGUGAUGAUCACAUUGAAAAAUAUCUCUAGUGCAAUGACCAGUUGUGCCAUUGACUUUCAUGAACUAUUACGAAGGUGGCGCCACGUCCCCCCCCCCCCCCCAAAAAACAAAAAGAGUAAGAUUUUCUUGUGAAUUGGGUUCGCACGCAUGACCAAUAUCUAACAACAAAUAAUACUAUUGAACACAUUACAAUCAUUUAUGUCAUCGAUGUUGUCACUACAUUUACGAGAAAAUAUCUCCUAGAGACUAGAAUAAUGGUUGUUUGUCAGUAGUUCCAAAAGUUUGGAAACCAUUGCCAGUGACCACUUUUAGAUAUGAUAGUAAGUUAGUAACGCCAAUAUGUUGAUUGGCUUAUUGACCAUGCAUUUUUAUCUUUUUGUGUAUAGGCAAAUAAGAUAUAACUAGGAUUACACUCAUUUCAGUUUUAUAGGAGAUGAUUAUUUUUAUUAAAGCAAAUAUCCUAAUUAAAUUAUAAGACGGAAAUUCGAACUUAGGGUGACAUUGACUUCAUUCCCUAAAAUGUAGGGUGAGAAACUCCCUUACGAAAACAUGAGAAAAAUAAAUACAUUGAACAGUUUACAAACAUUUUGAUGUGCAUUUGCAUAAUUGUGAUUUGUAAAGAUCAUUCAUAUGUAUGUUUAUCUAAAGAACAUAAAUUAAGAAUAAAAAGAAUUUGAAUUAAGUUGGUUGGUGGGGUUUAAAAUGGAAAAAGAAAAAAAUGUUAGUUUAUUUAAGAUAACAUAACUUAAAAGUGACAAAAAUUCUUACCCAAAAGAAAAAAAAUAAGGUUAAAACCAUCCACGACAAUUUCUAAAUUAUAGGUCUUGAAGUUUGAACAUUCGCCGUUCACAAAUCUAAAUUGGGGUGUGAUACCUUUUUUUACUUCUCUCACUCUUUUAAUUUUCGACCGUCGGAUCAGAUGAAUUAAAGAAGAUCAAAAGACAGAAAUUAACAAGAGGUGUGGGAGAAGUAAAAAUGAGUGUGUGUAUAGCACACCCUAUCUAAAUUAUGCCUUUUGGUGGAUCUAAAUAUUAGAUUUUGAGUCAGACGUGUUGAAGUUGAUCAGAGUAGGUUUGAUUUUCUGUUCCCUCUUUUGAAGUUUGGAAGUGAAGUCGUAUGAAUGUAGCUAACCUUCUUCGCCUUACGUGAAACCGCACUAAUGGGUUGGUUUUGCUUUUAUUGAGAAGACAUCAUCCAAUUUUAUGUAAUUUCCCAUCUUUUGCACUUUGAAUUACCUCUUUUUUUUUUAUUUAUUUAUUUAUUUUAUUUAUUUAUGUUUUGAAGACAAAAAUGAAUUGGUGCGAAGGGAUGGCCUACCACUUCAUUAUUGAUGUGGUUAUCUAAGCGUUCAUGUACAUUUUGUUUUUUUUUUCUCCAUAAAUUAUUCGUAUUUUUUUAACAAGGAUAAAUUAUUCGUAUUUAAAAGUUUGUGAAUUUUUAAUUUUAGUAGUUAAUAAUUGUUACAAGAAUUUGACUCUUACUCUAACAUUUCUAUCAAAAUUGAUUCUCAAUAAAAAAAACAAUGGUCAUAAACUCGAUGACAUACAAGAAUCUCUAGUUAAGAAAAAAAAACUUGAAAUUUUUAUUAUUUGACAAAAAUAAAAUUGAAAAGGUUUCUUGUUAAAUGUCUUCAACAUGCAUUUGAGAUUUGAUAUAAUUAUUAUCUUAAUUUCCUUUGUCGCCUGUGUAUUCUUGUUAAUUGUUAUACUAAUUAACGAGAAAUAAAAGUCCAAAAUUAAAGUAACAUUGAUUAAACCAUAAUGUUCAGAUAUUUGUAUACUAAUUUUCCAUUGGAAAUGUGAAGCUGCAUGUGUUCUAUUGCCGACACUCCUUGAACCAAUUAUCCUUUGAGAUCUUUUUCAUCUUUCUUUACAUUGUUAGUAUACUUUUGUGUUUGGGGGAAGAGAACAAAGCCCUCACCGUCAGUCACCAUGCAUGUCACUUUACUAUUUUUUUUUACGUUGUUAGUGGGGGUGGGGUGGGGGGUGGGGGGGUGGGGGGAAGAGAACAAAGUCCUCACCGUCAAUCACCAUGUAUGUCACUUUACUAUCUUUCUUUACGUUCUUAGUGGGGGGUGGGGGUGGGGUGGGGAGGGGGGGGAGAGAGAACAAAGCCCUCACCGUCAGUCACCAUGCAUGUCACUUUACUAUCUGUCUUUUACGUUGUUAGUGUGUGUGUGGGGGGGGGGGGGGGGGGGGGGGGGGGGGGGGGGGGGGGGGGGGGGGGGUGAAGAGAACAAAGCCCUCACCAUCAGUCACCAUGCAUGUCACUUUACUAUCUUUCUUUACGUUGUUAGUAUACUGCAUGUGUUCUAUUGCCGACACUCCUUGGACCAAUUAUCUUUUGAGAUCUUUUCCAUCUUUCUUUACGUUGUUAGUAUACUUAGGGGGUGGGGAGCCGAAGAGAACAAAGCCCUCACCGUCAAUCACCAUGCAUGUCACUUUACUAUCUUUUUUACGUUGUUAGUAUACUUAGAGCAGUUCCAGCGUGGGAACCCUCCUCCCAGGCAAUACACUAUGCUAUCCACUCAAUGAACAGUAACUGCCUUAAUAAACAGUAACCGUUUUUUGCAUCUCCACAGUUACACUUUAAUAGCCCUAACAAUAGGCAAUAAAAUAAUAGUUUUAUUUAUUUAUAAAAUAAUACCAAGAUAAUUAAAAAAAGACAAAGCAAAGAGCAGCAUAUGACUCUCUCUCUCUGUUGAAAUGAAGACCACCAACACAGCCACCACAAACACAAAGCUUAUCCUCCUCCACCCCUAAGCAAUCCACAAACAGUGGAAGCCACCGCCUGUGGCUCUUCUUCUUCUUCACCUUCUUCACCCUCGCAUUCACCCUCACUCUCAUCAUCACCACCAUCCCCCAAACCCUCCCCACCUCCUCCCUCACCCCCACCUCCGUACUCCCCUUCCCGCCCGUCGUCUUGGACGCACUUCUUCACUAUGCCAUUUCAUCAUCAAACACCUCGUCAGCACCCCACAUGUCCUCGCCGGAACUCACAUCCAUAUCCUCCGCCCUCACCCGCCUCUGCGCACCCAACUGCAAUUUCCUCUUUUUCGGCCUCACCCUCUAGAACCUAACAAAAAAAUUAAAAAAUUAAAAAAGGCGUCUGACAUCAGCUAACGUCAGAACCACCUCAGGUGCUCGGGCCAGAACGAAUCCACGGGCCUAGAGCUCGGCCUGCUCGGGCUCCCUCGCCAGCCAACGAUGGACUUCCUCCCUGGGCAAUCAGGUCUUGUGCUGAAGCAUGUCCAUCAAGCAAAAGCUCCCGCUGGAGCUGCUCUUAGGGGGGAGCUGAAGAGAACAAAGCCCUCACCGUCAGUCACCAUGCAUGUCACUUUACUGUGAAUAAAAAGAAAAGCUGGUAGUUCAACUAAUCUCAUAAAAUUUGUCAAUUUUCAAUAAAAAAAAAAGAGGGGGGUUAGUCCUAAGUUUUCUUGAAACAUAAGUAUUGUUGUGCAUCAUAUUAGGGUAUAUACUACACUUACUUACCACAUAUUUGUAUUAUCUAUCUAAUAGAAGAAAUGGCACGUAAGGCCGAUAGCGGCCCCUAGAAAUUAAAGUCUUGCAUGGAACUCAAUUGUCAGAGAAGUCGUUUGAGUGCCCUCACUUUUGCGAUUACUACUACUACUAAGAAUCUUGUACCACUAUAUGAAAAUUUAUUAAAUGACGAGAAUAACUUGUAUGAAAUAUGUAUACUGUCAUCAUGAUGUCUCAAUUUCAUAAUGUAAUGUCGUAUGAAAGAAAAUUUUGCACAUAACAAUUUAUUAGACAAAAACAUCAUGUGAUAAACAUAUUCGACGUAAGUCUUCUCCGAUAAUUUAGCCAUGGUACCAUGAUGACAUUUCAACUUUUAUCUUUGAAAAAUAAGAGUAUAGGACCCCAUUUCGUCUUGACCUUUUCUCAAAAUACUGUACCAUUCUUUUGUCCGUGAGUCUCUAUUGUGGUCAGCAUACAACAGCUGUUAUUAAUUACUGUAACCACAUACUCGAGUUGACAUCGAUCAUUCCUGCCAGUUGCCAGACAAAAUUAAUGGAAACUUAGAUUGUUUUAACUGUACGAGAUAUUUUCUGAGUGUGUGUACUUUUAAGUUUUAAUCCAUUUUAAUUUGUGUCAUUUUUUUAUAAACAAAUGAUAUUAUUUAUAUUUAAAAAGAAUAUGAGUUUAGUCUCAUAAUGAGCUAUCAAUAAUAUGGUUCAAAUUCGUCUUUGACAAUAAUCGAACUUGAGACGAUUCAAAUUCGCAUUUGACAAUAACCGAACAUGUGAUCUAUUACUUACAAGUGCAGAGGAAUACCACUAGAUCGUAGUAUUAAAUGAUAAUUGAAUAUGUGUCAUUGAAUAAUUAAGGGAGUGAAAAUUCUAUGUGUAUAACUAUAAGGCGUGGGUCGGAAGAAGGAUUUUAUAUCGAUAGCGUCGAUAUCAGUAGUGUCAAUAAUUGUAUCGAUAAUUAUGGUGUACUAAUAACUAUACAUACGUUGACAUAUAUUUUCAUCAGUACUUGUGUUGAUGUACAAAACCGGAAGUCUUGGAACAACGUAAAUCCGACCGUGAAUCUACAUGUAAUGUAAAUAACAUAAGAUGUAUCGUGGUUCACCCCAAGGUUUGGGCUACGUCCACACUGAUAUUGUAUUUAUCUGAGAGGUGAGGGAGAUAACCUCUGAAUAUGAGAGGGGAUUGAGAGGGGUGAGAAGGCUUCAUAAAUGGCCUCCUCUAAUUGUGAGGGUGAUGGGUCAUUUUAUAGAAUAAGGACUUCUCACUUAUUACAUAUUUGCCCAUUCCUUUAUUACAUAAUUACAUUUAAGUCCCCUGAGUAUUUAUACGAGGUCUAAAUACGAGGCCCUAAAUAUGGUAUAAACAGUAGUCCCCCAAGUCUUCAGUCAAGAGAGUCUUUUGGCUGGAGACUUGAAAUUCAGUCCAUGUCCAUGUGUGGGCCGAAGUAACUAAAUGUUGUCUUGAACUGAUGUUCGAUAUGAGGCGGUGCUCAAUCUGAAAUGAUGCUCAACUAGAAGUAGCAUAUGUUGCAAGGCUGCUCGGCUUGUGGUUUAUGUUGCCUUGGUUGACUCGGCUUGUAGCGCUUGAAGGUGAGGGAGUCCCUUUUAUAGAAUAAGGGUUCGCUCAUCGAUACAUAAAUGAUGGGCUAGAGUUGAUGCUCGCGGCGAGGCGGUUGCUCAGUAGGCGGCGAUGCUCUCUAAUGAUGGUGAGGGAGUCCCUUUUAUAGAAUAAGGGUUCGCUCCUCAAUAUAUGAAUAAUGUGCUAGAGUUGAUGCUCUCUAAUGAUGGUGAGGGAGUUCCUUUUAUAGAACAAUGGUUCGCUCCUCGAUACAUAAAUAUGGGCUGGAGUUGAUGCUCGCGGCGAGGUGGUUGCUCAGUAGGCGGUGAUGCUCUCUAAUGGUGGUAAGGGAGUCCCUUUUAUUAAAUAAGGGCUCGCUCCUCAAUAGAUGAAUAAUGUGCUAGAGUUGACGCUCUUUAAUGAUGGUGAGGGAGUCCAUUUUAUAGAAUAAGGGUUCGUUCCUAAAUACAUAAAUAAUGGGCUAGAGUCCCCCACUGCUUUGUUCCCCUAAUACUAAACAUCUGAAACAGAAGAUUUUAUUUCAUCACUAACGUUUAUUCUUUGGGCUUCUCAUUUGUAACAGGAUACCGAUGUUGUGUGGCUAAGGGACCCCUUCAAAAAACUAAGCAAGAACGAAACAGAAGAUUUACAAAUGAGUACAGAUAUGUUCUUCGGGGAUCCUUGGAACGCAAGUCAGUUGAUCAACACUGGCUUCUACUACGUCAGAUCCAAUAGCAAGACCAUAGCACUGUUUGAUAGAUGGUACACCUCCAAGGACAAUGCCACAGGACUGAAAGAGCAGGAUGUCCUAUUGAACUUAUUCCGAGGGGGUAUUACCGGGGAGUUGGGACUUAGGGUAAGGUUCUUAGACACCCUCUAUUUCAGUGGUUUUUGCCAAAACAGCAGGGACUUCGGGCAAGUGAGCACGGUCCACGCCAAUUGUUGCCGGAGUAUUGUCGCCAAAGUUAAGGACUUGAAAGCCGUCCUCCGGGAUUGGAAACGGUUCAAGAGGUUCAUGUCCCACAAGAGGAGUUCUGGUACUAGUACGACGAGUUUCCAAUGGACUGGGCACUUUGGAUGUUGGAAUUCCUGGGCUGUUCCCAAUUAACUCUGGUAAUGCAACUCAUAAGACAUGAAUUUUUCUUUUUUUUUUUUUUUUUUUUUUUUAAAGAAGACGUUAGUAAAGAAGGAGAAGGGUAAAUCAUACGAGAAGGAAAUAGUUUUCUAUCUUAUUUUUAGAAAGUUCAGGUGAAGGAAGGGAAUAAUUGAACAGUGUCGUUUAAAAUUUGAGGAUAAAUGCUCUACCAAUAGAGUUAUAUAUGCCCCCACAAAGUAGUUCGAUAAAUUCAAAUUUAUGUCUCCUUAUUUUUUUUUUUUCUUUCAAGAUUAUCAAAAUAAAUCUGUAUGCGAUUCAAAGGUAUGUUUCAAAAAAUGUAAGUAGCAUAAAGGAUUUAGAAUGUCUUAAUAUGGGUUUUCUUAGCAUAUCGUGUAAUUUUUAUUAAUUGGUUUGAACUCAAAUGGCGCACAUUUAUCAAUCAUAUUGUACGGUUCAUAUUACUAAUGUGAUUCUUGUCAAAUAUUGUAUGAAUAAAUGUUGAAAUAUUGCAUUUUUAUUUUGUGGUUGGAGCACAUGAGUACUACCAGACCUUCGCAAAUUGAACUUUUUCUUCAUUAAGGUUUUGUAAGAUCUAAAAAUAAAGUAAACUGUGGAUCUCUCCCUUAAACUUUCACCUAACUUUUAAUUUACCCCCUAAACUUUUAAUUGGAAAAUCAAGGACUUAAACUAAUUUUUUGGUUGAUUUCCCCCUUGCUGUUAGUUUUUCAUUCCUUUUCCAUCCAUAUUUCUGUUAAAUGAAAUCAUGUGCACAACAUAUGAGGGUAGUUUGGUCGCUUCAUUAUUUUAAAUAAUUGAAAACCCUAGAUUUCUAAAAUGCCUACCUGUGCAAAUCUGUGUUAUUCUAUAGUUUUUGUGUCUGAAGGUCUAGCGAAGUGUUGUUUUUGUUCUCCAAGGAGAGUCAUGUGAUGUGCACGUGAUAAGAGUUAACAUUAAUUUGAAUGAAAUCUAUGGAAAAAUAACGGUAGGGAAAAUCAGCCAAAAAAAUAGUUGAAGUCCUUGAUUUUCCAAUUUAAAAGUUUAGGGGGGUAAAUCAGAAGUUAGCUAAAAAUUCAAGAGGAAAUCGGCAGUUUACUCCUCAAAAAUAUUAAAAUGCAUACUCUUGAGAUAAAAUGGUGUAAAAGUUUGUAAAUAUUAAGUGUUCAUUGUUGAUCAUGUAUUACUUUAAGAGUUGCUUUUACAUUUUUUUCUUUUUAUUUUGUAUUGCAUACUUCAAAAGUUGAAAAUACCAUCCGAUAACACUCAACGAACUUCAUUUCAAGUUAUUUACCUUUUUUUGUCACUUAGUAUUAAAGUUUAGUGAUACUUUUUUCCAUUUAUACGUAAAAGGUCUUAAGUUGGAUUGUCACAAAAAACGAAUUCAAACUAAAUUAAUAUAGCUAGCUCGUCGUGAGGUUUAACCACUCAUCCACCAAAAAAGUUAUAUACCGUCCUUAAGCUCUCUAAAGUUCUCAUUUUUUAAGGAUCUUUAAUUUUAACCCAAUCAAAACCUUUCUCAAAUUUGAUAUAUUUUGGAAUAAGUAGUCCAGACUUUAGACUUUGCAUUGCAGUUUUUGUUAUGUAAUUAUGAGGAUACAGACUUUGCCUCAUAGUUUCUGUCUUAUUGUAGUCGAACUAGUCACAUCUUAUGUUGAAUUUUAAAAUGAGUAUCGACUAUUUUAAUUAUUCUUCUCAUUUUUUGACUUCAUCAUAUGCCAAGUUUGUGAUGCAAAUUUUGUAUACGACUGAUUUGACAAAAUUUUACCUACAAGAGAACAAACAUUGUUAGUCUAAUUGACAAAUACCUCGAAAUAAAUUUGGAAGGUGUGCACCAAAGUGUAUACGAUGCCUAAGUAAGAAAAGUUGUAAAGAGAAAAGAGAACUUAAAAGACUUCUGAGUAGUAAGUGGUUACUAUGGUUUUCUCUGUUUAACCUGACUAUUUAUAGAGAUCUGAACCCUAGUAGGUAACUGGGAGGGGAGGUUGCAAACCAUACUAGGCAGUCUUUGAUGGUGCAUGUCAGUCGUUAUAGUCAUGCCAGCUAGUAAUCCUGAAGAUCCCUGUUGUAGGGCGCCUAGCGUAUUGGACACCCAAGGAGAGACUCCGAAGGGUUAGCUUCUUGCCACCAUUGGGUUGGGUAUGGCCCGAUGGCAGGACAUAAUAUGGGCUUGAAGCACCUGUGAUAUGGUGGUGGCCUAAAAGCCUAUUACCCAUAGAGUAGACUAAUGUCACAUUCCCUUGAGGUAAUAUGUGUAUGCUCAAGAUGUUAAGACUGUCAUAGUGAGUAUAUAGUCCACAUGGUAAAACCGUCAUAGGGAGUAUAUACUCCACGUGCCCUCCUAUUAGAUGUGAUUAAUUUAUGUUUCUAUAAAUACCCCACAUAUGCUUGAGUUUAAGUGGGAAACAAAAAGAGAUGUAGUUCCUAUUUGUAGAUUUUUUUUUUUGUCUUUCUUUAAGGAUUUAGCUUAAAUAAGAGAUAACCCUUGCUGGAAUUCUCACAGAUUCCUUACUUUAAAAUUCAGGCUUUGCGUAGAGAAUUCAUAGAGAAAAUUUCAAGUAUGAAAAAUUUCCCCCUUCUUCUUCCCGUCCUCGAUGAUGUUGCCUCAACUCAACAUGCCUAGUCUGUUGCUGCUUGCUGUGCGUGCUGAAGCGCGCAGGUGAAGCCGGAUAACUAUGGAGUUAGGGUGCGACUUGAAUGCGACUCAUUGUGCAAUCGGAUCACGAGGAAAUCGUAGAUAUGGUCCCUUAACUUUAACUUAAUUGGAGCAAUGAUCCCUCAACUAAAAAUCCAUUACCAUUGGUCUCUCAACUCAUCAAAACGUGCAGCUAUGGUCCCUCAACUAAAAAUCCAUUACCAUUGGUCCCUCAACUUUAAUUCAACUUGAUAAAUGGUCCCUUAACUUUAACCCAAUUGUAGCAAUGGUCUUUCCAACAUAACUCGUUUUGACAAAAAAUUUGAUGUAGUUGACGAAAAGGACUAUAAUUACACACUUUGAUGAGUUGAGGGACCCUAAUUAUAUAAAUGGUUAUUCCAACAUAAUUUAUUUUGACAAAAUUUUGACGAAAUUGAUGAAAAGGACUAUAGCUACACAUUUUGAUAAGUUGAGGGACAAAAUGGUAAUGAUUUUUUUAGUUGAGGGACCAUUGCUACAAUUUACUCAUCGGACCACUAAUUGGGUCGGUUCGGCUAUAGAAUUUUUUUUCGAAUUUGACUGUUCUUCCGAAUUCAAUCCAACAUCAAUCCAUCUCCAUCAUUAUUAUCAACAAAAGCCAUAUUGGAUUAAAUUAAGAUCUUGUGAGCAAUUUUUGAAAUUUCUUCGUUUCUUUGGUAGGUAAAGCAAGAUGUUGUCUUCCAAGAAAUCAUGGAAAUCAUACAUCACAAAGAUGCGUGACAUCAAGUUAGAUAGAUAGAUGGACAGUUUCCACUUCAUUUCAUAUUCUAGUCGAUGUAACUAUGUUUGAGUUUUCAACACAUUACUUCUUAAUGUCAGCUCUUGUAUAGAAUAGAUUCUGAUCAAGCGGAAAAAGCCCUAUGUUAUUAAUAAGCUAGCACGCCCCUUUCUUUCUCCAAGUCAAGUUUCUCACUUGUUAGUCUUACCCUUACCUUUAUUUAUGGGAUAUUUGAAGAAUCACAUGUUUGGAAGUUAAUCAAACCCCAACUCUCUCAUUUCACACCCUUAUUAACAGUGCUAGGGUUAUUGAUAAACCCUGCGCAAAUGUCCUAUUCUUCAACAGACUAUCACCUGGGGCAAUGUAGAACCUUGAUUGAACCUGAAGCAGCACACUACAUUGUAGACUUUUAUGAAAUAGGAUGCAUGUGAGCGGGCAUUUCAAAUUUUUUGUUCAGAGGCUGGCUAUAUAUUUCUAACGUGCCCUAGGUCAAUUGUGACCUGAUUUCUACUGCCUUCCACCAAUGCCGCCACCAUCACCACAUACAUCAACCUAGCCACCAUGGCAACCAACAAUUCCCUUGUUUGAACCACCAUCACUCCCACCACCCCAAUAUGUUAAUUGCAUCCAAAACCUCUCACUAUCAAUGCUACCACCACCAACCUUCACCAUCAUCGUCAGCGCCACCACCACUCUGCUACCAUUACCACUCUCUCCACCACUCCCACCACCAAUGUCGUUUCCCUUCCCACAUUGCCACCAUUUAUACCCUACCAUCAUCGCACUGUCAUUGUCAUCACUACUACCACUAUCACCAUCACCACAGGCACCCUAACCAUCGUGGCCACCAACACCAUCCCUUAUGCAACCACAAUUUCAUCGUCACCAUCGCCACCAGCUUCAAAUUUAUACUACAAUACAUUAUUAUCAAAAUCAAAAUUACCGUUAGACCUACUCUAACCCUUGGAGUAAAACUCAAAUUUUAGGUUCUAAACUUACUUCAACCCUUGGAGUAAAACUCAAAUUUUAGGUUCUAAACUUACUUCAACCCUUGGGGCAAAUAUGAGUUUUAACCAAAAGCUCAUUUUUGAGGCAAAUUUAGCCCAUGAUUCCCCUGGGUUAGUGGGGCUAGGCCACCAUAUGUGUGUAUUUUUUGUAGUUUUAUAUUUAUAAAUUCAUUGAAUCCAACGAUUAAGAUCUAAUAUAAUCGAAUCCAACGUUAAAAGAAAAUAUCUAUUAAAUCCAAUAGCUAACGUAAUUAAAAAAAAAUUAUGUGUUUCAUAUUCUUUCAUAGUGUUCCACGAGUUUCAUAGUGUAGGUUUGGUGAUUUUUUAAUAUUCAUCGGAAUCUAAAUAUUUUUAGUUUAAAAUGUUUAUAAAUUAAAUUAAGAUAAUCUACAUAAUUUAAAAAAAAUUACUUUAAGAAAAAAAAUAUCCUAAAUUUAUUCUUUAAUAAUUUCGGGCUAAAAAUUUAACCCAUAAUGGUGAGAGGAGAAAAACUGACACACCCCGACCCGGAAUGUCCACUAAGACUUUGAAUCGAGCUACACUGACCGACACCUGGGAGGUGACGAAGCCAUACAGUGUUAUGAUGUGGGAAAAUGUGAAUAAAAACUUAAGAGUGCCUAAAUACCAGAGUGCAUAGGUGAGCGGGAAUGAACCCACUUCACACAUGACGUUAGAGCAUAAGUAAGUACAAUUAAGAAUCGUACCCUUGAAAGAAUCUCCAAUACUAAGAAUUGCCACGAACCUUCGACGAUAAGAAAGCUCAGCUAAUAAAACCUGGAUGGUGAAAACAAGACAAGGGUGGGUGGCCUUAGAAAUAACAUUUUAAUAGAAACCGUAUAAAACAUUAUAACCCCUCGUUACAACACUUAUAUAGUUUCCAGAAAAAUCAUACCACGUAUCAAUGUGAAAUCAAAAGUAUAUCAACAGUAAAUCCAUAAAUAUACCACAACACCGCAUUUUAUCAGCAAUAUCAAUAAUCAUGUGAUUAAUAAUCCAUACUAGCACGCAAGUCGGAGUCACCUAUAGUGACCUGUACGACUGCACCCAUAUCUCAUCAAUCAAUGCUAGCACAUAAGUCGGAGUCACCUAUAGUGACAUGUACAACUUAUCCAUAUCUCAACAAUCAAUGCUAGUUCAUAAGUUGGAGUCACCUAUAGUGACUUGUACGACUUAUCCAUAUCUCAUCAAUCAAUGCUAGCUCAUAAGUUGGAGUCACCUAUAGUGACCUGUACGAUUUAUCCAUAUCUCAACAAUCAAUGCUAGCUCAUAAGUCGAAGUCACCUAUAGUGACCUGUACGACUUAUCCAUAUCUCAUCAAUCAAUGCUAGCUCAUAAGUCGGAGUCACUUAUAGUGACUUGUACGACUUAUCCAUAGCUCAUCACAUAUCCCUGCACACGAGUCAGAAUCAUCUAUAGUGGUCUGUACGACAGGAUUUUGUGUAAAUAAAUACGCUUCAGUGCUACGAUCACGUGAAGACUGUGAGAAUAAACGCGGGUCACCAACGAGUUGGAACCAUCUAUAGUGGUCUGUAUGACAUGAUUGUGCACCUACCUUGGAUCUAAGGUGAGCGUAAGGUGCGGGAGGUGAACAUCACGUGAAUGACUGUGCCUUGGCCACGGGCGGGAGCACUAACACCGGGGUGCAGGUUUAUGAGCUUUACUUGCAUCUAUUAUAUUAUGUACGCCUCAUGGGCAACCUGUACGACAGUGUCGGAGUUGCCUAUCAUUGCAAUAUGUACGACAAGGUCGGAGUUGCCUAAAACAUACACAUAGUCAUGCCAUAACUCCCUCAUUUCCACUAAUACCAUAAACUCACCUGAACUUACCUGGGUGUCCUGUGUUCACCUUUGCACUUCAAAACGUUCAAAAUAAUUACAAGCAAUAAAUAUACAUAUAAAUAUACCAUGAUGCAAUCUAAUACUCAAUCAUGUCAUAGCAUUUACAAUUAUAUAUAUAUAUAUAUAUAUAUAUAUAUAUAUAUAUAUAUAUGUAUAAUAUGGCAUAAAAUGCAUAAGCUGUAACACCCUACUCCCGAACUAUUUAUUUUCGGAAAUAAUAUGGCUCAACUAAACAUUAAUUUAACUAACUAUCAAUAGUUAGGAUUCUUUACUUCAAUUUCUCAAUCCUUCACACAAUGAUUUAUAACCAACAUCCCAUCACUAAAUCAUAAGGAUAAAUCUCACAUUUUCCACCAAUGUCCCUCACAUUGCACAAUUUCCCAAAGAAGGCUAUUGUCUCAAUUAAUUAGUCUCAUUUAUAGUAUGGCUGCAUCUAACGUCUCGUUAGACUGCCUACGUACCCUAACAGGGAUCAAGCCAUUCGUAGUUCGCAUUACUACUUCAAAGCAUUCACAGUAAUUAUAUGCAAUAAUCAAUUUAUAAACAUUUGUGGAAUUGUCAAUCAUAUAUAUAUAUAUAUAUAAAAUAUACGAUAGAAAGGAAAAGACCCACUCACCUGAGGUCCGCGCUACGACUCCCUAGCAUGCAUAUCGAGACAUCACGAACUAUCGUUGCCUAUGACCAAUUAUCAAAUCACAUCUCAGAGUUCUGACCGAUGGAAUACAUAAUUUACAUAAAACACAUCACUACGUAAUUCAAUUUGAAAGAUCUGCAUCACAUAUUUCUGAUCCGUUGCUUCCAAAGAUCCACAUUAUACUUUUAGAACAACAUCCUACAGUUUCAUUAAGAUCCAACGGUCAGAUCUCCGCCAAUUGCCAAAACCAAAUGGUGGUCAACAUUUUAUUUUAUGAACUUAUAAAUCCAAUUCGGAAAGAUCCGUACAUCAAAUUCCCGAUCCAUAAGUUUUUAUGGUCCUCAAAUAUUACGUACUAAUGUAUCAAAGUUUGGUGACGAUCGAACGGACGAAUCAUCGAUUCAUAUAAAUGCCAAGCGAUGUAUCAUAAUGAAACUAAGUUCAAACAAUCAAACCACAUCAUAUGGAUAUCAAUUAUGACAUACAUCUAAUUGAACUUAAAAGGACAUCGUCGGUCCACUGGCUAGGCCGUCGCCGCACGUGCCGCCGCGCGUGGUGGUUGGCCACCACGGUUCGCCGGAAAAUUCCACUAUUUCUAAAAAUUCUCAAAUUUUACAGAAAUGAAGAUCUUAAGAGAUGAACAACUUUCAUACCUACCACGAAGUCCAAAAGUGGACGGAAGAUGGUCAAUUUUUCCCACAAAGCCGGCGGUGCCUAAAACUUCUCGGCGUUGAUUCCUCGUCUACGGUGGACCAACGGGGUCAAGGUUGGUUGGGAUUUGCUCCUGGGAUGAUGGGCUACAAAGCCCAAGUGGUGGCAUAGGCCAUCGCUUUGCUGAUUUGUCAAAAAAUUGAAAAGAGUGGCCAGACACGGUUUUGAUGGGUCGGAUUUUGUGGCUUCGCCCCGCCACAUGUGGUGGUUUCUAAAGGUGGUUCUUGGGUGGGUUUUGUAGAGGGGAAUGAGAGCUUCAAGAUGGUCAUGGUGGGGUCAAAAAACUCCAACGGAGUUUGCCGGAAUCUGCCUUGGAAGAUGGGUGGUCGUAAUGGGUGUGGGUGUGGGUGCACAGAAAGCUGGGAGCUUUCCCUUUUUGGUUUUCCUUCUUUUCCUAAUUUCUGAUUGGGCUGUUGCCCUCUCCCUCUCUCUAAUUGGAUCAUUGUCCCUUUAAUUUAAUUGGUCCACUAUUCUCACCUGGUGGGAGUUCAAAAUUAACUAACAAGUAACCAAUUUCAAAUAUCCAUAACGAUACCGUUAUAAUCCGGACUCGCAAACGGCGACUACGCAAAUACGCCAAAAGAAUAAGUCAUACUUUUUUCUAGACGAUGGUCAACAUAAAUCAAAAUCAUUGCCUCUAAACAUUUUUGUCAAUUCCCUCGAUUAAAAUAAAUAAAAACGAAAUUUUAGGGACGGAUUGUCACAACAAUUGUUUUUGGGUUAUAAAAUUUAAAUUUUAGCCUAAGGGUUGAAGAUGAUUUUAGUACUAGACAUGUUUCUAAUAUUUUCUUUUUGAAAAAUAAUUUUUGAAUUAAACUACCACAAAUUUUCUAUUCAUAAAAUGCAAAAUUCUUUUGUUGUUUCGUUUUGUAUAAUAAAAUUCAUCAAAAAAAAAAAAAAUAUAUAUAUAUAUAUAUAUAUAUAUUUUUUUAAACUUUACGAAUUGCUUCAUACCAUGCCAAGUGUGGUAUGGUUAACUGUUUAUAAACGGUUAUGGGUAUGGGUAUAACCGUUUAUGCAAUUACCCAACGCAUAAAUAGUUAUGCGGGUAUGAAUAUAAACGGUUAUGGGCAAAUAACCGUAGUUACCCGCCCGUCAUAACCAAUGCCCAUCACUACAAGUGUCCCAUGUCCCCAACUCACAUUGUCCAACCAAUUACUAAUUCCCACGUGUCAAAUAAUUCACUCACACUAACAAUCCCUGUCCAAGUAUUUACACCCAAAGUACCUCCUUUCCUUUCGCAUAUAUAUGCCCACAAAUCCCUCAGCCUUAACCCGCAAGGUCGCAAUUCUAUCUCCACCUUUCUUUAAUUAGGGUUUUGUUUUGGUCUUCGUCUCCUCACUUUCUGUUUCUAGGGUUUUGUUCGAUUCGCAAUUACGCAAUCUAGGGUUUUCACUGCAAUUAUCUCUCUAUAAAUAGUAUACAUUGAAAUAUUUCAUCUUUCGGUUCGGAUCCUAUUAGAAUUCUGAUUCCUUCUAUUCUGCAACUGUGAUCGUGGAGUUAGGUUUUCUGAAUCGUUCCUUGUUUGAUUCUUGAAAAGGGUUUUUUAUUUUGGGUUUGAUUUGGGGAAUUUGUGGAGUUUUGGAGAAUUUGAUUGGGGAAACCAUGCCUCCGAGGACGGUGAAGAGAGGUGGGGCGGCGGGAGCGAAGAGGACGACGAGAGUCACCAGGGGGACGCACAAGGCCCAGAACCAGGUCCAGCCUGAGGCUCCAGAUGAGUUGGUGAAGGCCGAGGAUGCGGUGCCGAUGGUGGAAUCUAAAGAGGAUCUCAAUGUUGAAGAGAUUAAGGAGAAGCCAAUUGCGGCGGACAAGCUCGUGGCUGUCGAGGAGAAGCCAGUUGUUGAUGAAAAGGCAUCCGUUAUUGAUCAGUCAGGGCCUUCAGAGAUGGAAGUUGAAGCGAAAGCAGAGCAGAAAGGAUUAAAAAGUAAGUUUUGUUUUCAUUAUGUAAUUUUGUUGGGGCUUGAUUGAAUUAAGUAAUUUGCUCUUGAUUUUCCACUGCUCUAUGUUUUUGCAUGAUUUUAUAUAUGUUUUAAGGGACUGUGGUAAUAAUGCUUAAUCUUUUGUCUAUAAUGUGGUUUUUGUUGUGGUAAAAGGGGUAGAGAAUGAGUAACAUUUUCUCAAUCAAAUUUCUUGUAUAUUUAAUUUUCUGUUAUGUGGGAUGUUGUAUAGAGCUUAGGGAAACAAUAAAACCAACUAAGGGAAAUAAUUUAGAAAGAUUCCGAAGAAUAAAUGUCUACACAGAAAUCCAUUGAGGAAUACGUUUUUGUAAAUCUGGUAAUGCUUGCUCUUCCAUGCACUUUGGUGGCUUUAAAUAGAAGUGGCCAACUUGUUCUUUCAAGAACAAUUAGUUCUUGAGUGGAGCGUAGAAGUCGGUGUGAGCGUAGUGGAUUGUUAACUUAGUUCUUGCUCGGUUAUGUGUCAAAAAGUUGGUUAAUAUAUGGAUCAAGGAUGACAGUAUAAACAGUGUAAGCAUGGAUCAUACUCUUUCCUCUUUGUUUUUAGCUCAGACUGGUUUAUGUGAAGAGCAUAGACGGGAAGUUUAAACCUUCUAAGUGGGAUCAUACUGUUGUGACUGAGUUUUGGAUCAAUUUUGUGUUUAGACAUUGUUUCAUAUGCAAGCAUUAAGUAUAGAAUGACACUUCAGGCAUUGUAAAAGUAGAUCAUGCCUUUUUUUGGGGAUCCGUUAUGUAUUAAUAUAAUCAUGGUAUUCUUUGUACUGUGUUUAUCUGCGAUGGACAAGGACCGUCUUAAUUAAAUUAUGAACUCUGCUUGAUCAUAAUGUAGAACUUGAGUCUCUUUUAACUUAAGGUAUUGUCAACCGUAAUUUAUCGCAGAACAAGAUAAGGUUAAGGAGUCUAUAGAUGAUUAUGAAAAAGAUGAACAAUUAGAGCUGGAGGAUAAUGAAGCUGAGUAUGAACCUGAAGAAGAUGGUGGGGUUGAUUAUGAUGAGAAGGAAAUGGAACAAGAGGAUAUCCAGGAGCUCGGGGAUGAAGGAGAUGAAGAACCUGAGGAGAUUGUAGGUGAAGAAGAAGGUGAUAUGGCUGAGGAAGAGUUGGAAGAUGGCCACGAAGAACUCGAGGGUGAAGAGUUUGAGGAGCAUGCUAGCGAGGAGCAUGAGCAUGAGCAUGCAGAGAUGGUUGACGAGGAAGAGGAGCACCAUGAAGUUGUAAAGGAGAGACGGAAGCGCAAGGAGUUUGAAGUAUUUGUUGGUGGUCUAGACAAGGAUGCAAGUGAGGCUGAUCUUAGGAAAGCUUUUGCUGGUGUUGGUGAAGUUACUGAGGUCAGGCUGAUGAUGAACCCUCAGACUAAGAAGAACAAGGGAUUUGCGUUCUUGCGUUUUGCAACUGUGGAACAAGCAAGGCGAGCAGUUGCGGAGCUUAAACAUCCAGUGGUAAUCUUUGAUCCUUUCGUAGUUCGAGCAGAAACUGGUUUCUUCAUAUAUUAAAUUCUAUUCUCUGAAUGAUUGCAAUUCCAGAUUAAUGGAAAACAGUGUGGUGUUACUCCAAGUCAAGACAGUGAUACUCUUUUUCUGGGUAACAUAUGCAAGACAUGGACAAAGGAUGCUGUAAGUAUAUUGGCUUACAUCAUUUCAAAAUUCUCUGACUUAUCAGGAGAUGAUUAAAAAUUUCUGACUUCUUUUGAUGGCUGUGGUUUCAGUUGAGAGAGAAGUUGAAACAUUAUGGAGUAGAUAAUGUUGAGGGUCUGACAUUGGUUGAAGAUACUAACUAUGAGGGAAUGAAUCGAGGCUUUGCUUUUUUGGAAUUUUCUUCUCGUUCAGAUGCCAUGGAUGCUUUUAAGCGACUUCAAAAAAGAGAUAUUGUGUUUGGAGUUGAUAGGCCUGCAAAAGUUUCUUUUGCAGAUUCCUUCAUUGAUCCUGGUGAUGAAAUCAUGGCACAGGUAACGUAAAUUUUCUGCUAUAUUAUAGGAACAAUAGGAUUCCUGGAUGGGUUAUCUUUCUGAUGAUCUGUUCUUGUGUUUUGGUGUAUGAACGUAUACAAAGGUCCUUGUAACAUCAAUUUUUUCCAUGAGUGUAUGGAGUCCUGGAUAAAUUCUCUGUUGUGCUCUUUUUUUAUGUUAUGGGAGAUGAUAGAGUUACAAUAUGCCCAUUGAUGUUCUCUUGUACAAGUAAUUUUUCUAGUUUGUUGACAAAUUAGCAUAUAGCACCUGUAACAUGUUGAAUUAGAUUCUUUGGAGUUGUUUUUUGGGUAGCAUUAUCUUAAUUUCGUGUUACUUGUUUUCUAAAAUCUUGUUAAUCUUUUCUCCUCAAUUGACUAUGAUAAAGUUAGUUAAGUAUGGGAAAGCAAUUGUGAUUGUGUUUCUUUGAUAUAGUGUUAUUAUGCAGUUUAGAGGAGUUUAGGUGAUUGUUGGAGCUGCUGACUAAAUAUCUUGAGAUGCAGGUCAAAACUGUGUUUGUUGAUGGCCUACCUGCUUCAUGGGAUGAGGACCAUGUCCAAGAUCUUCUUAAGGAAUAUGGGAAUGUUGAAAAGAUUGAGCUUGCGCGGAACAUGCCCUCUGCUAAGAGGAGAGAUUUUGGUUUUGUUACAUUCGACACUCAUGAGGCUGCAGUUACGUGUGCUAAAAGCAUUAACAAUUCAGAGUUAGGUGAAGGAGACAACAAGGUGUGUUGGCUGGUAACAGUUAUUUCAAAAUUAGACAUUACCGAUGAAAGUAUUUUAUGUAUUGGCAUUUGUUGGACAUGAAUUUAUGAAUAAUCAUCGUCACUUUUAGGCGAAAGUCAGGGCGAGGUUAUCAAGACCGCUCCAGAGGGGUAAAGGAAAACAUGUUGGGCGAGGAGAUUAUCGAUCUUCUAGGGGGGUUGGACGAGUUGUUAGAGGUUCAUGGGGUCACCCAGCACCACGCCCUCUCCCUCCUAUGCGUAGUGGGUUAAGGGGAGUUGGAAGUCGAAUCCCACCAGCCAGUGUAAAGAGGCCUGUUGCGCUAAGAGAUAGACGCCAUGUGAUGUCAUCUUAUCCACAAAGAGGCAGGCCUUUGCCUCCUCCAUCUAGGUCCUAUGACAGGAGGCCACCUGGUAUGCAAUAUUUUAAUUUAUAAUGGCUAAUGGGUUGUGUGACAACUUUUAUCUUGUGAAUAAUAAUAUUCCUAUACUCUUUCUAACAGUUCCUGCGUACCCAAAGAGUAGCUUCAGGAGGGAAUAUAGCAGGCAUGAGGACCUUCCUCCUCCAAGGAGUAGAGCAGCCCCUGAUUAUGGAUCAAGGGCUGUUCCAGAAAGACGCCAAUCGUACAGAGAUGAUUACGCUCAGCGUGGUCCUGCCUACUCUGAUCCACCAAGAAGUACAUCUCGUACAACAGGAAGGAGAGCUUAUGUUGAUGAAGGUUACGGACAGCGGUAUGAAAGGCAUCCUCCCCCUCCUCCUCCUCCAAGUUACCGUGAAGGUCGUGCUCGUGAUUAUGACACUAUUUCUGGUUCAAAACGUGCCUACUCUGCACUGGUUAGUGUUAAUGACGUCAUUUUCUAUAGCUGGAAAUGUAAUUUACUUGGUUUUCUCUGGUAGGAUAUGAAAUAGGGCUUACAUUCUUCUUCCAUGUGUUCUAGGAUGAUGUUCCUCCCCGUUAUGCUGAUGCGGGCAUCCGCCAAUCAAGGGCACGGUUAGACUAUGAGUAUGAAAGUGGUUCGUCUCAAUAUGGUGAUGGCUAUAGUGACAGGUUUGUUCCUUGAAUUGUAACAUUAACUUUUUAUUAUCUCGUGUGGAUGCAGCAACUUACCUUUUGUUGUGUAUGAUAGACUUGGGAGAUCUAAUAUGGGAUAUGGAAGCAGCAGAACAAGUCAGGAUUCUCAUGGACUAUACAGCAGUCGUCAGGGCAUGGGCUAUGGAGGAGGUGCGAUUGUAAUUUCUGGUUAUCUGAUAGAUAGUAGUUUUAUUGUUGAAACCAUAGAAUUAAGGGUCUUAAGGUUUUUUAAUUUCUUUUUCAGGUUCUUAUGGUGGUAGUGACGUUGGUGGAAUGUACUCAUCCAGCUAUGGUGGUGAUUAUAUCUCUCGUGGCAGUGACGUAUGCACCUAAUCUGAUUUGAUUAAAUGAAAAUAAUAGGUGUUCCAUUUAGCUGUCUCAUAUAUCAUUAUAUCUUGAUUCUCUAUUGUAGGUUGGAGGUAGCUCUUACUCAUCAAUGUACUCUGGCCGUGGUGCGGGUGGAAGCAGUUAUAUGGGUUCAGGUGGUUCUGGCUCAUACUAUUGAGGUAAUUUAGAUUGUUGUGUUUUUCAUGUUUUGUUAAGUUUCAUGUGUGUGUAAUUAUGAGAGCGAUGCGUGUGUCAUUAUUACUAUUUUCCGGCUGGAGAUUUAUUUUCUUCCGAAGGCACGACAUCUCGUCUUUGGCUCUAAGAGGUCAUUGGUGAAAACAGAGCAAUAUAUGGUUACAAGUGAAUUUGUCUAUGGAACAGAUCUGACAUGAUGAAGAGGAUGCUGUGGGAUGUGGACUGUAUGAAGCUUUUUACCAUUAUGAUGCCUAGAGUUAUGGACACAGAAUUUCCCUAAGAACCUAUGUAUGUGCUGAGGAGCCGCCCUCUUAGAUUUCCAGAGAUUGGAUAUUGUGCCAGGCUGUAGUUAUUUUGCUGCAAGGAAACUCAAGAUAUUCGGAGAUGCAAGUGCUUAGUUUAUGACGUGUCUUCUACUUCAUCUACUAGAAGAACUCCACCUGACGGAAAAUUUGGAGUCCUGCUGCAUCCUUUGUUCGUAUGAAUAGAUAAGACUAUAACAAGAGAAAGAGGAUUUUCUUAAUGUGAUUAUAAGGUAUUUUGGAUAUUUUUAAUGCUGAAUCCUUUGGAAAGGUUUGAAUAAUAAAAGCCGUUUUGGCCGUUUUAGAUCGCUUAAUCAAUUCAGUUCCAUAUCGUUGAGUGGGUUAUCACGGAACUGAAGGCUAUAAGGAAAGAUUCAGCUUGCUUGGAAUUGUACGAGAUUGUGGUCCAAAAAGGUAGACCUGGAAUCUGUUGCCUGGUGUGUACAGUUUUAGUUACCGCGUGAUUUAAAUUUGCAUUUUUGACAUAUAUAUUGAUAUUUAAGGAAACAUAUUGGGAAAUUACAAAGAAGAAUGAGUAGGACUCUAGUUCAUAAAAUUAUCUUACAUUGCUUGCUAAAAUCUCGAUUGAAGUAUUAUUCUUAAGUUCCUUGCAACCUCUACCAAGAACUGUGAGAGUCACCUGAGAGCAAAAGUAGGACUGAAAAACACUGAAAGAACACUCUUGCUACUGUUAUCUGGAUUGCAGAAAGUCGGUAUUUGUAAAGAAGGGAUGCAAUUGGCAAGUAUUCCACUUUGUAGAAGCACGUCUUAAUGUGGAAUAUCCCAUACUAAGUGUGGGUGGAUCACUUUGGCACGUUCACGGAGUCUAAAAGUUGGUUGUAUCUUUACGAGCAAUUCUCGCAGAUUAAAAGCUUGUGGAACUUGGAGGUAACUAGUACCUGAGUUGAGUCCUUGUCCUUGUAUUGUUCAUUAGGGCUUGUUAUGGUCAAGAUAGCUUAAAUCUUCUCAAAUCCUUUCGAUCAACUCAUUUUGAUUGCUUUAGCGUAUCCAAGGACUAGUUGCUGGUUGGAAGUUGUUUCACUUGAGCGGUUUUACUUUGAUAUGCUUUUGAUACAUGCCAGUAUCCUAUCGAUGUUCGGAUGCAACUGAAUGCUGGAUUGAAUUUUAAUGGGGUGCCAUAUACUUUUUGUUAUUCGUGUUCACUAGUGAAAUACGACAACCUGAUUGUGUGGAAAACCUAGACAGUCCUCGUUGUAAUGGGCAACGUAUUGUAUUUGGUAUAAAAUUUGCAGGACUCUCUCUCUAUCUCUCUCUCUCUCUCUCUCUCUCUCUCUCUCUCUCUCUCUAGAUUGGGAUUGGGAUUGUGAUUGUGAUUGUUCUAAAGGAAGAAUGGUUGGAUGUGUUUUUUUGUACAGGUAAAAUAAGAAUUUAAUGAAUGAAACCUAAAUACCGCGCCUUCUGGUGCGAGUCAUCCAGUAAAAUGAGAAAUUCAUUGUCAUUGUAAAACUGAAGGACGUUAAACAUACUAGUCGUAUAUAAACCACAAUUUUUGCGCGUCUUGUACGCUUAUCUAGUUCUAUUUCGAAAUUUUGUAGUCAAGUUUGUAAUCGCUUCUAUUUUUGGAUUGUCCUCUUGGAAACCUUAACAAACCUUCGAUGGCUUAAUGUAGAGCAGCAAUUAAGAUUUGGUAAUAAACACUCCUGCUUGGGUUUUAGACGUAGGAAAAAGAACUGCUUUAAACAAUUGAAAAAAAAAGUAUUUAAGUAACAAUCUCUAAAUCGAACCUAAGAUCUCUCACUUACAAGUGAAAAGGAAUAUCACUAGACCGUAGUACUAAGGGACUGUUAUCUUAGAUGCAAAGCGUUCAUCUUCUAUAUAUAGGGAGCACACCAGUUUUGUGAAGCUUUUAUAAUAGGAAGCUUUAUAUAUAGAGAUAAAAACUUUCAUUAUAUUUUAAGGAAUUCCAUUAGUUUUUAAAUAUGUCAAAGAGAGACAAAAAUAUAAAAAUGACUAAAGCGUAGCCCAAAAACAUGGAAACAAUAUUUUAAAAUACCAGUCAUACCCCUAAGGCUUUAGGAUUGUUAAAAGAACCUAGCCUUCACAACUCCAACAAAACUAAUUGUGCAGUAAGCUCAAUCCAUCAUCAACUAUUUCUGCAGAAUUAGUUCAACCUGUCCUUAACAAUUUUUGCAGAAUCAGUUCCAUCUAUCCCAACCAUUUUUGUAGAAUCAGUUCAAUCACUCUUUGACCAUUUUUGCAAAUUUGUUCAACCCUUCAUCGAUUAUUUUUGCAGAAUCAAUUCAAUCGGUAUUCAACAAUUUUUGCAGAAUUAGUCACCCAUCCUCGAUUAUUUUUACAAAAUCAGUUCAACCCGUCAUCGACCAUUUUUGCAGAAUCAAUUUAAUUAGUCUUCAAUUAUUUUUGCAGAAUCAGUUCAACUUGUCAUUGAUCAUUUUUGCAGAAUUAGUUCAAUCAGUCAUCGACUAUUUUUGCAGAAUCAGUUCUACCCGUCUUCGAUUAUUUUUACAUAAUCAAUUUCACUUGUCUUCGACCAUUUUUGCAAAAUCAGUUCAACUGGGUCGACGUCUGCUACUUCAAGAUUAAGGACUUGGCCGAGAAGUUUGCCAUCCUUCACUUUGGUAUUUGCCCCUUUCGUUGGGACUUCUUUAGGGGUUCUUGAUUGCUCAUCCAUAUGGGUCUUUUGCUUCUCCUUUCUGGUUUUUUGUUUCUGCUCUGUAUAACUGUCAAUAAAGUGAAGCAGAAAAUAAAGUACAAAAAUUUAGGAAUUUGCACCUGCAACACGACUCAGACAUCGAAUCAAUGAAAGAAGAGAGAAAUUAGAACAAAAUUGAAUUGGGUGUUGGAGGCUUCUCGUCGAUUGCCAAUCUUUCAAGCUCUGCUCCAACUUCCUCUUCGGCCUAAUAUUAAGAGAGGAAGAAAGAGAAGGGAGGAACAGAUGAAGAGAUGGAAUUGUGAAAAGACUUUACCACUAUAAAUAGCACUUUUGUAACUGACACUCUAAAAAGAAAAAGACUAAUGUCAUCUUUUACAUGUAUUAACUUUUAUCCCUCUUAAAAUGUUUAAAAAAUAUUAUCUCAAUUUAAAAUUAACUUUCCAUAUGUGGACUAAACUUGUGAUUUUCGAAUUGCGUCUAACUUUUUCAUUUAUAAUUUUCCUAACUUAAAAGUUUGAAAUAUCAAAUUUACACAUGCAUUUGCCAAUGUAAAUAAUUUUCGAAGUGCCUCACGUGCCCUGCCCACUGCCCAAGUGUUAUACAAAUUAUUUUCCAUUUUUGACCUAGCUGGGAUCAACAGUGUUUUCAUCAUAUGACUAAGCUGUAAUUUACAAUAUUUUCUUAACAAAACUAAUGAAAAAAGUUUGAAAACUUUGCGUUUUAAUGAUAACGACAAAAUAAAGGGUAAAGUGAAUAGUACCAGAAUUGACUUUAAAAAGUGUACUUUAACGAAAAACUCCUAAUACUGUUCAUUUUUUAUACUUUUUAUACUUAAUUUUGUAUUAAGAUAGCAGUUUUUAAACAUUUCAAGAAAAAAUAAAACUUAAUACAUGUGUAAGAUGAUAUUAUUGGUUUUAUUUUUCUUUGAAGUGUGAGUUAACAAAAUGGCCUUUAUACAAUAAAUCAACCGUUGAGAUUUAAUUCUAGCAAAACAAUUGCAAACUCCAUCAUGCCAACCAAAAAGCUCCACCGCUUCCCUCUGCCAUCUUAUCCACUCAUAUGUUCCAUGGCUGCUUCUGCAUCAACCCAAAUGCUCUGUCCUCUUCCACCAUCCAUGUGGGUUCAUCGCCAUCUGAUAACCAGUCAGAAAAAUUGGUUGGUUUCUGACCUAUUAUCAUUUUAUUUCCUCUAAAUAGUAAAUUUAUUAAUUUUGUAAAAAAAAAGAGGAAAUUUUAACGAAAAAAAACUCUCGGUAAUGUCCACUCUAAUGAAAAAUUAUAUUUUUACACUAAAAAGUCAAUCAUAUACUAUUCAUUUUACCCUUUAUUUUGUUUUUAUCAUUAAAACUCAAAGUUUUUAAUCUCUUUUCAUUAGUUUUCAUUUUAAAGAAAGCUUUAAUUUUUUAUCAAACGAUAGAUUUUGUUAGUAAGUUAAUUAUUUUUCAAAAUAUAAUAAUAAAGCAUAAUAAUAUCUAAACUAAAUAAAAUUAAAACCAAAAACAAAAAGGUAAAAUAAUAUAAAAGAACCAUAUAAUGAAGGGUUGAUCUUCCCAAUUCCCAACAACAUAAAAGUUAUAGCUUAUUUCAAACUAUACCCCUAAUGUUUGGGGUCAAUUACAAAAAGGACUCCUCUUUUCAAUUUACUACUUAAGAUUCACAAACAAAUAAAAAUAAAAAAAAUUAAUACUUAAGGUUGUAAAGUUUUGGGGAACUGCCAAAUUAGGGCUAUAAAAUCUCCAAUUUUGGAGUCAUAUUGAAUCAUGCAAUAUUAUUUUGAAGCCAAUUUGAUUCUAGUAUGCCUUAUAAAGUAACGUAGGUGGUGUAUUUCAACAGUUCAAAGAGACAUGUGGUAAAAAAUAAAAAUUAAAAGUUCAAGUGGUAUUGUAGACAUUGAAAUUUUGGUGGCAUAAAUGUUAGCGCUUGCAUUAAGAUUACAUUUGUAAACAUUGAAAUUUUAGUGAAAUAAAUGUUGACCAUUGUGUUAAAACUACAACCUUCAUCCAAAUUCACCUACAACCCCCACCCAAAUUCACCUACAACAACCAAUCCAAAUUCACCUACAACCUCCACCCAAAUUCACCUACAACAAUCCAUCCAAAUUCACCUACAACCUCAACCCAAAUUCACCUACAACAAUCCACCAAUUCACCUACAACAUACACCAAAACAAAUGGAUGGUGGUGGUUCAUUCUCAAGGCCUAUAAAUAGGCUCCUCCAUCAAAGAAUCAAAGGAGGAUUUUAGAUACACUUUCUCUACUCCCAAAUUGGAAGAGAAAUCACACCACACCAAAGCCUUGAAGCCUCGAAACUCUGAAGCUCUCAAGUAAAUCCCGAAGGAUCAAGAAAGCCCUAUCUGUUCUUCGUGAAAUCCUCCUUCAAGAUCAAGCUCCAACGCCCCUUGAAGAACUUCCACCCAUUCAAGAUCAAGCCCCGACGGCCCUUGAAGAAGGUGUUCAUCAUUCAUCAACUGUUCGUCCAAGAUCAAGCCUCGACGGCCCUUGGAUCAACAACACUACAUCUACACGUUUCAAAGAUAGAAUCAGAGGAUAAAUUUGUAGAAGAGAUUGUAACCCCUAAAUCAUUAAUACAAAUAUUAUUUUGGACACGUGUUCUUGUCUCUUUCGUUUCAGGAAUUUCCGUGUUUACAAAUUUGGCACGCCCGGUGGGACAGUCUCUACCUCUCAUCUCUAUCUUUGAAUCCGCAACAAGCACAAAUGGCGUCAAGGAAGGCCCAAGUUGUUCUCGCUGCCAAUGCAAGAAACAAGAGCGUCAUCACGACAGGGGGCAUCACUUCAGGCAUCAUAACUCGAAGUAAGGCAAAAGCUCUUUCCGCCGCCUCUUCCGCCCCUUCAUCAACUCCGCCGAAGGCACAAGAGCACCCGAGGUUCGAACCGGUGAUCACCCUGGCCUCGCUCAGGGCGCCAAGAGAGGAAAGCCAGAGGAAGUACUCUGAAUCCUUACUUUCCGAUGCCGACUCGAGCAGCGGCAUAGCUAUGCAAGUCAUGGUUACCGGAACAACUUCAAUUGAGGAGCAGCUGGCUCAGAUGAACGAAGCAAUCGCAAAGCUCACAAGGACUGUGGAGGAAAAAGACCUGCAAAUCGCAGCACUUGUUAACCAACUAGAUGCAAAGCCCGAUGAGAAAGCCAGGCAAGGGGAUAAUCCGGUAAAGAAGGAAAACGACGAGGAUGAGGAACCUCCAGUGGAGAACGUCGAAGAGACGCUGAAGCUAGACCAAGCGGCGACACUCAUGGGGUCUCUCUCUCUAUCCAGCAGCUGCAGGAGAUGAUCGCCAACACCAUCAAGGCGCAGUAUGAAGGAAGCUCACAUGAUUCCGUACUAUACUCAAAGCCCUACUCCAAGAAGAUUGACGCUUUGAAGAUGCCAAAGGGCUAUCAACCACCAAAGUUUAUGCAGUUCGAUGGAAAGGGGAACCCGAAGCAACAUAUCGCCCACUUCAUUGAAACCUGCAGCAAUGCUGGAACAGAGGGAGACUACCUCGUCAAGCAGUUCGUGCGCUCGCUGAAAAGCAACGCCUUUGACUGGUACACCGACCUCGAGCCCGAGUCUAUCAGCAGUUGGGAUCAGCUAGAAAAGGAAUUCCUCAACCGUUUCUACAGCACGCGCCGCACCGUAAGCAUGCUGGAGCUGACCAGUACGAAACAGUGGAAGGAGGAACCCGUCGUCGACUACAUCAAUAGAUGGCGUUCAUUAAGUCUGGAUUGCAAAGAUCGGCUCUCUGAAACCUCUGCCAUUGAGAUGUGUGUUCAAGGCAUGCACUGGGGGUUACAUUACAUUCUCCAAGGCAUAAAACCAAGAACGUUUGAGGAGCUGGCAACGCGCUCCCACGACAUGGAGCUGAGUAUCGCCAAUCACGGAAAGAAUGAGCCGAUCACCCACUUCAAGAAGGAUAAGGUGUUCGCCCCGAGUGUGGACAAGACCGGAAAAAAGCCUGCAAAGGAAACUUUUACUGUCAACACUACCCCCAUCAAAACCCCAUCCGCGCCUAUCAAGACCACCUCUGCACCUAUCAAGAUUUCCUCCAAGACCAAGGCAAAGGAGACAAAAAGAAGUGAGCCUCCUCGCACCCAAGACAAGUAUAAAAACACCUUGAGAGAGUUGGAGCAAAAGACGUACCCUUUUCCUGACUCAGACGUGGAUGCAAUGUGUUAGAUGACUUGCUGGAAAAGAAGGUAAUUGAGUUACCAGAGUGCAAGCGCCCUGAAGAAAUGAAUCGAACGAACGAUCCUAGGUACUGCAAGUACCAUCGUAUCGUAAGCCAUCAUGUGGGCAAAUGCUUCGUCCUCAAAGAACUCAUUAUGAAGCUAGCGCAACAAGGGAGAAUCGAGCUAGACCUUGAGGACACAGCCGCAACACAUACUACUACAGUGGCGUUCGGAUCCUUCGAUCCCGUGCCUCUCCAAACGACACCCAACCAUUCCUAUCAAUGUGCAAGCUACACGGCGCCUUCUACACAACCAUCGCCGGGGGCAAACGAACAAGAUGCGUAUACCGAUGAUGAUGAAGGAUGGACAUUGGUGACCUACAAAAAAACAAAGAAACCAAAACCACAAGCCACAAGACCAAAGGUGGAACAAGUGAGAAAACACCGUCGCCGCAACAGUAGGAAGCCUAAAAGAAACGUAAAAGUCGAUAAGCCAACGUAUGCUGGGGAACCCGUGGAGCAAGAGCCACGCAUUCCUGUCUCCUUGCGCGAGUACUUCCCGAAUGACUUCUUCCAACAGUGCACCAUCGCUGCAUGCCAUAUGGUCGAAGUAGAAACGGAAGAACCUUCAAAAAGCAAAGAUACCACCACUGAGGGAGAAAAAACUCUCACGCUCGAAGAAGGUCUGCCAACACACUUUAGCAUUGAGGAAGCGCUACGAUUACCAAAGAAGAUGCGAAUAGCAUUAGCAGCGGCCUUGGAAAGUCCCAAUGAACAUGAAGUGCAAGAAAGCAAAGAACGAAGACUUGAAGCUUCGGCCACAUGAAUGUGCCACAUGUUGUGCCAUAGAGGACGCAAUCCAUUUCACCGACGAAGACUUGCUGCUAGGAUCCAAGCCUCACAACCGUCCUCUCUUCGUCUCUGGGUAUGUAAAGGAGCACACAAAGUCAACCGCAUGCUUGUGGAUGGUGGAUCAGCCAUAAACAUCAUGCCAAAGUCGACAAUGAUUACAAUCGGCAUCAAGGCGGAUGAACUGUCCCUAAGUCGUCUACUAAUCCAAGGUUUUAAUCAAGGAGGACAAAAGAGCGAUGGGCAUGAUCCGAGUGGAGAUGACUAUUGGCGAACUCAAGUCGAGCACGAUAUUCCACGUGAUUGAUGCAAGAACUUCCUACGGCUUACUCUUAGGAAGGCCUUGGAUCCAUGCGAAUGGAGUAGUACCGUCCACCCUUCACCAAUGCUUAAAAUUCUACCGAGAAGGAGUGAAGGUGAUCUAUGGCGACACCAAACCAUUCACUGAAGCCGAAUCACAUUUCGCAGACGCCAAGUUCUACAUGGAUGAAGACAUGGUGCCCGAAGCUCUUCCAAAAGAGAUCAAAUCCACGGGCAAAGCAACACCUAAAAAAGCAGGAACGACAAGCCAUGCCCAAGAAGCAAGAAGAAGAAGUUACGCCGUCUUCAAGCAAGAACGAUAAUGAGCCGGCUAAACGUGCAACAACAAAGGAGAGUAAGACGCCCUCAAAUGGACCAAACACACCCGUCUUCCGAUACAUCCCGAUGUCGAGAAGAAAGAAUGGUCAAUCCCCGUUCGAAACUGGAGCAAACAAAGCCGAUGCACAGAGGUAUAUGGAUAAUGUAAAGUUGCUCAAGACGAAUGCAGUUUUACCUCUGACGCAGCUAGGCGGCACUAAGGUCGCAAGACUACCACAAGGCUUCAUAAAAGCUCUACCAAAGGGGGUGGAACCAAGCUUUCUCCCAACCCAGAGGACCGAAGAAGGUUUUGAUCCAAACGCCUAUAAACUCAUGUCGAAAGCUGGCUACGACUUUGCUUCUUCUUCGAAUCAUGGAAAGAAGGUUUCAAACACCGUUAACAAUAAAGAAACGUGACCUCACCGAGACUCAAAGGAAGUUGAAGAAGCACGGUUACGGAGUUGAUAACAACAAAAGCUGGACUAGGCUUCACACCAAACGCACCCGUGAAGAUUUCAAGCAAAGCGAAAAAUGCUAGCACUCAACACAUCAGCGUGAGUAAUGAACAAGAUCAUGAUGAGCCUAAAUCCACCCCUUGGACGUCAGUCUUCGAUAGGAUGAAUCGUUCAAAACCCAGAAUGUCAGCAUUUAACCGCAUUGGUGGUCAAAACCGAACCUCCGUCUUCAAGAGACUUAACAUGCUAGCAUCCCAAAGCUCUGUUUUUGAAAGGUUGUCAAAACCUAAGAAGCAAAGCAACACGACUAGCUCUCUUCCUCGUCAGUCAGCUUUGGAAAGACUUGAAGACAACAAGAAGUUUUCUAGAAAUAGGAAGACCACGUCAAAGGAAGAAAAGCUCGUCAUGAUAGCAGAAAAAUGUGAUAUUCGAAGCUCAAUUCCUUCAAGGAUGAAGCGCCAAGCAAUCUUUGGAGGUGGACACAAAUGGACCACUAAAAGUAAGAAGGCGCACCAUCAUCCACACUGGACAAUCUUCAUGCCGACCAGCCCAAGAGGACGACACCGAAGAGGAAUUCCAAGAUGUCUUCCACAUCACGAUCCAAGAAAGCGAAGAAGAAUGAGAUCCCCGAAGAAGGUGUCACUGCUGCGCCACCACAACUGGAGGAUGGGGGGCAAUCCACAGUCGAUGAUCUCAAGGAACUCAAACUUAGGCAAAGAGGAGCAGAGACCUAUCUUCGUGAGUGCGUUGCUAAGUGCGGACGAGGUAGACGAGUAUUACCAACUGUUAUCAGAGUACAAAGACGUCUUUGCUUGGACUUACAAGGAAAUGCCCGGCCUUGACCCUGUCAUCGCUGUACAUCAUCUUGCAGUUAAGCCCGGAACGAGACCAAUAAAGCAAACUCAAAGGCGCUAUCGAUCCGAGCUCAUUCCACAAAUUGAGGUAGAGAUUGACAAGCUAAUCGAAGCAGGCUUCAUUCGAGAGGUGCAAUACCCUAAGUGGAUCUCCAACAUCGUCAUCGUCCUUAAGAAAUCUGGACAAAUACGUGUUUGUGUAGACUUUCGGGACCUCAAUGACGCUUGCCCGAAAGAUGACUUUCCCUUGCCGAUCAUCGAAAUCAUGGUGGACGCGACCACUGGCCAUGAGGCACUGUCAUUUAUGGACGGCUCUUCUGGAUACAAUCAAAUUCGUAUGGCUCUCGAAGAUGAGGAACUAACAGCAUUCCGCACUCCAAAAGGUAUCUACUGCUACAAGGUGAUGCCCUUUGGUCUAAAGAACGCUGGAGCCACAUAUCAGCGAGCAAUGCAGAAAAUCUUCAAUGACAUGCUACACAAAAACGUAGAAUGUUAUGUAGACGAUGUGGUGGUCAAAACAAAGAAAAGAUCAGAUCACUUGAAGGAUUUGCGAGUAGUGUUCGAAAGGCUGCGAAAAUACAACCUUGAACCGUUAAAAUGUGCAUUUGGCGUCACCUCAGGAAAGUUUCUCGGCUUCGUUGUCAAGCACCGUGGCAUUGAAGUGGACCAAUCAAAGAUCAAGGCCAUUCGAAACAAUGCCCGAGCCAAGAAACCUGCACGAGCUGAAAAGUCUACAAGGACGACUAGCCUUCAUCAGACGCUUCAUCUCCAACCUUGCAGGGCGUUGUCAACCGUUUAGUCGACUCAUGAAAAAGGAUGUCCCGUUCGUAUGGGACGAAGCGUGCCACAACGCUUUUGAAAGCAUAAAAAAAUAUUUAUCAAGUCCACCUGUCCUGGGGGCGCCUGUGCCCGGGAAACCACUCAUAUUGUACAUCGCCGCUCAGGAAAGUUCAGUGGGAGCACUCUUGGCACAGGAAAAUGAAUUCCAGAAAGAAGGAGCGCUUUACUACUUGAGUCGAACACUCACCGGCGCUGAGUUGAACUACUCCCCAAUAGAAAAAAUGUGCCUUGCCUUGGUGUUUGCCAUCCAGAAGCUUAGACAUUACAUGCAUGCUUACACCAUCCACUUGGUUGCUAAAGCUGACCCGGUUAAAUACGUCAUGUCCAAGCCAGUUUUGACAGGGCGACUAGCUAAAUGGGCGUUGAUUCUCAAUCAAUACGAGAUCAUUUACGUCCCAGCUAAAGCCGUCAAGGGACAAGCAUUUAGCAGACUUCCUUGCCGAUCAUCCAAUCCCAGCCGAUUGGAAAAUCUCAGACGACUUGCCUGACGAGGAGGGUAUUCUACAUUGACAUAUUCCCGAGAUGGACGAUGUUCUUCGACGGAUCUGCACGAGCAGACGGAGCGGGGGCAGGAGUAGUAUUCAUGUCGCCACAAAGGCAAAUACUACCUUAUUCAUUCCAACUAAGCGAAUUGUGCUCCAACAACGUCGCUGAGUACCAAGCACUAAUCAUCGGGCUCCAAAUGGCGAUCAACAUGGAAAAUCACAACCCUCGAGGUAUAUGGCGACUCCAAGCUCAUAAUUAGUCAACUCUUGACUGAAUAUGAGGUGAGAAAAGACGAUCUCGUCCCGUACUUCCGACUGGCAACUCAGCUGCUACAAAAGUUCGAGGCCGUAACACUAGAACAUGUGCCGAGAAAAGAAAAUCAAAUGGCAGACGCUCUCGCUAACCUAGCCUCGAGUAUGACACACUAGGAGAAGACGAAGCGGCAGACGUGCCAGUUUGCCAAAGAUGGGUCAUCCCCCUCGCCACCGAAAUGCUACUAGAUGAUACAAAUGUCAUCUCGGUACUUCCAGUCGAUGUUGAAGAAUGGAGACAACCAUUGAUUGACUACUUAGAGUAUGGAAAACUUCCAAAUGAUCCUAGACACCGCUCUGAAAUACGUCGACGAGCACCUCGCUUCCUCUACUACAAAGAAAACACUCUACCGGCGCUCUUUUCGAAGGAGUACUUCUGAGAUGCCUAGGUGAGGAAGAAGCCAAUCAAGCCAUGGAAGAAGCGCACUCAGGCGUGUGCGGGGCGCAUCAAUCUGGACCAAAGCUACAUUUUCCAGCUCAAAAGAAUGGGUUACUACUGGCCAAGUAUGGUGAAGGAUUGCCUGGAACAUGCCAAAAGGUGCCAAGCUUGCCAAUUCCACGCCAACUUCAUACAUCAACCACCUGAACCAUUACACCCUACAACUGCUUCGUGGCCAUUCGAUGCAUGGGGACUGGACGUCGUGGGACCAAUUACUCCAAAGUCAUCUGCAGGAGAAGCCUACAUCCUAGCUGCAACAGAUUACUUUUCCAAGUGGGCUGAAGCCAUACCCCUAAGGGAAGUAAAAAAGGAAACUGUUGUCCGUUUCAUCAAAGAACAUAUCAUCCACAGAUAUGGUGUGCCUCGUUACAUUAAUCACGGACAAUGGAAAACAGUUCUCCAACCGACUUGUAGACGAGCUCUGUGAGAAAUACAAGUUCAAGCAGCAUAAGUCUUCCAUGUAUCAUGCUCCGGCCAACGGUCUAGCGGAAGCAUUCAACAACAAAACAUUGUGCAACCUCUUAAAGAAGGUGAUCGGCCGAACAAAGAGGGACUGGCAUGAAAGAAUAAGCGAAGCACUUUGGGCAAUAUAGGACGACGCAUAGGACUCCUACCCAAGCUACCCCUUAUUCUCUCGUAUAUGGCGUGGAAGCUGUUUUACCGCUAGAAAGUCAAAUCCCUCACACUUAGGAUGGCUAUACAAGAAGGUUUGACUGAUGAAGAGAAUGCAAAGUUGCGCCUUCAAGAGUUGGAAUCACUUGACGAAAGAAGGCUCGAAGCUCAACAACACCUGGAAUGCUACCAAGCACGGCUAUCCAAGGCAUUCAACAAGAAGGUCCGCCCAAGGUCUUUCCAAACUGGAGAUCUCGUCCUUGCAUUACGAAGGCCUAUCAUCACAACUCACAAGACAAAAAGCAAGUUCACAUCAAAGUGGGAUGGACCGUACGUAAUACAAGAGGUCUACAUAAGCGGCGCCUACUUAAUCAUGGCAGAGGACGGCUUGAAGAUCGGUCCCAUCAAUGGCAGAUUCUUGAAGCGUUACUACCCCUAAAAAGCGACGACCAGACUCCUUGCCUGCAUGAGCCUAAACUGCACACGGCACAAAGCUCCUGGCCCGCAAGAGCAUAAACUGUGUACGGCAAAAUCAUCAUCAAAAUCACUAUAAAAAAAAAAUAAAUAAAUUCAUCGCUCAUUUGAACUACGUUGUGACUUGAUCCCUCAUCAACCGGGGGUACGUAGGCAACUUGAAACUUAAAAAAAACUUCAAGUACAGUCACAUCAUCAACAAAAACACAAAUACUUUGAAGAAAUAAAAGAGCAAAUGCAAGAAGGCGAAUACUUCAAAAAAAAAAAAAAAAAAAAAAAAAAAAAAAAAAAAAAAAAAAAAAAAAAAAAAAAAAAAAGAGAAAAACUACUACGGAGGCGAUCUUGAAGCAAGCCUUCCAAAGUCUUCAAAGUCUCCACCUCGGUCGGAGACAAGGUGGGCAAAUCCAUAGCCAGGCCUUUCUCUUGUUCUAGACGUGAGGUCUCCUCAUGGUGCUGAGAAAGUGUAGCUCUCUGUUCUGCAAGAACUUUUUCAAGUUGUGAUGCUUGAGUUCCCAACUGCUCUCGCUCUCGUACCAACGCAUCCAGACGCACCUGGACGGAAGCUAAAGAAGCCUCUGUGACUUGAUAAUCUCCCGAAGCAACUUGCUGAGAAGACCGGACUCUCGGGCCAAGGACAAGUCUAUCGCUGCAAGCUGUUGAGCUCGAUCAUCUGGGCUCAAUUUCUUCAAGGAAAUAGCGCGCAAGGAAGAAUACUCAGUGGAGGCGGCCAUAAGUUCGGCAAUCUUGUUCCUCAAAGACGAAGAAUCAACAUUAAGGUUGUCAAUCGUAGAAACAAGCUUCGACAAAUCUUCUUCGAGCAAUGAAAGGUCUUCCAGCGAACACUUCGAAAUCCUACUCUCAAUAUGGCUUUUUGACAUCCAAGGCAGCACGAAGUUUGAGGCGAUGGAUAAAUUGCUCGGUACCAUUAAGGUUCGGCCCUCUCAAAGAGAUCGCAGAACUAGCUGGCAAAGGUGCUGGACGUAUGAUGGACUCUUGCACGCCUUCACCUACACACGGCAGGCUUGGAAGAUUGGGCGAAUUUUGAACGAGCUCUUCACCGGGCGGAUCCCCGAUCUCCCCGUCUGUAAGCAGAUCGCCUCCAAGUAGCAUAUCCAUAUAGGAGUGAACACCCGCGGCGGCCAAAUCAAAAGGACAAGAAGGCCCCAACCUAAAGAAGACGAAGAGAGGUGUUAGAAGCAAAAGCUGAAAUAAGAAUAAGAAGUCAUGAGAGAGAAAGAAAAUGCAUACAUCUUUCUCUAGAGACACACGACCAUCGGAUUGGGGAGGCCUAAACACUUCUUUCUUUUUAUGACGAAAAUUGACAUCGCUGUCAACCUGAGCAACUUCAAGUGGUCGUUUGUUUAAAACUUGUUGGCGCUGCCGCAAAACAAGUCCAUCUUCAUACGAAUCAACCUCGUCACCCGCCUCUUCAGAAGCAUCCAAAUGGUGAGGAGAUGAGCACAAACGUUGACGGACUAAAGCCACAGGUCUGUCUUGCAAGGGAGUUGCACUCACACAAUCAAAAGGUACCAGCUGCAUAGGAGUCGCAAACUGCCUUCUUUCAACGCAUCGUGGCGUGAAUGGGAAGAAUUAUUACCACUUGCCAUCCCCAAAUCCUCAUGAUGUACCUUUGACCACCAAUGCGCGUAAACACGAGUCACUGGAUUACCCCUGAACUCGUCCUUGGCUGGCAGGGUGAUAUAAGCAUUCGUAAAUGCACGGGUACAAGACUCCCAAUGCAUGCAUAUACACGGCUUGCAAGGAUUCUGAUUGGGCCUUUUCCUUCAGCCUGCCCGGCACAUUUUGGACAAAACCAAAUUGCCUGUAAAACGGCUAAGGAACGGUACGGCUGAACGACGCAUCGGUUUUCUUGCCGCAAAGAAACAUACGCUGAGCGAAGACUUAUGAGAUAAGACAAAUCUGAAGAGCGAAGAUGCGAAUCAUCCAUGAUGCCUCGCCGUACUGAGCCAACUCUCGCCAGGCGGUCCAUUUUUAAACCUUCACAACUUCUAAACAGUGUUUGAGCCUGCGAAUCAUCAAGACUCCUCGCAGAAAGCACACCAGAAUACUUCGUCAUUAAAGGCCCCAACUUGACUGAAGACGGAGAAGAAGGACCUGACUUGUCUAAAGUUGACGAAGAAAAAUGAGUGCCAAAAUACUCACCCAACCAACCAUACACAUAGUGGUAAGGGGAGCACCGCAGCACGAUCUUCAGUGCUUGCCAAGUUUCGAAAAUAACGUUCAAGCCGUCGUAAAUAUUGGCUAAAACUGGAAUAGCAAGACUAAAAGAUUCGCCUACAGCCAUCUUGCUAGCAACUUUGAAGACUCCGGGACGAAUGAAGUUGACAUCAUCCUUGGGGAAAACAAACUUACAGAGCCAACAAGCUAAGAGAGCGGCUAAGUAAGAUUCUUCUAAGUGCUCUGACGCCACGCCACAAUCCUCGAAUGCCUUCAACUCAGCAGAAAGUACGACGAACAGCUGGACCAAUGACACCAGACGGGUCCGAGUCCCCUUAGGCCUGGUUGUCUUGUUACGACCGCUUUUCUUCGAAGGCCUCUUGUACUUCAUGGCAUCCCAAUACCAAAAUUGGAUCCAUGAAGAGAUCUUCACGCCUGACUUACCUGGGGGCCUCUUGGAAAAGCUUAUGGUAUGCCCCAAACAAAUAACGGCAGCUUGCAGGUAAUCCUCGGCUGUUGCGAUAAGAGAAAACUCUUUCCACACUAGGAACAACCUCAUCGUAAAAUUGUCCCUGGAUUGGGCAAGCCCUCCUAUCUUAUGGAGAUCCCAAAGCGAGAUCGACAUCUCCCCUCGAGCCGUAUGAAGUGUGUGUUGGUCGCUGAACACCAAUGCUCGAAGAAUGCACGAAUGACGGAAGGAUGUCGGUCAUAACUGAACAGAGAUGCAUAUACAGCAUGAUAAAGUCCCGUGUUGGUAAGCAUAUCUUUAGAACGGCUCAAGACAUCUUCAAGCCAUUCCCAAUAAAACUCAACAAAGGCGGCUCCUCCAGUAGUCGACAAGGUGCUACUCCAAGCCAUAGCUCCGCUACGGAUACGAUCGCCAAGAAGCUCAAACGAAACCGAAUGAUUGUGUCACGAACAUGGUGCGAAUGGUUCAAGAUAAGACUCAUCGAUGUGCAUGCCUUUUUCUUUGCAUUUAGUCGAACAGAGUCUACCACAUCCCAAGGUACUUCAGAAGACCACGACUUAAUAUGCAUGGAAUUGUCUUUUGCGGGAAGGGCAAGCGCCUUGGGGCCAGGUAAGUGGCGCAUAAAGCUUUAACGUCGUUCCACUAUCCUGUGAAUCGCCUUCCUUUGCAAGAAUGGUGAUAGUGUUGUUUUUUAAAACACUUGAGAAACACCAUGACUGCAACAAAAAAGUCAGCCACAAAACUUGAGCAGGGCGGCAAAGAAGGCAGCUACAGGGCGGGUCCUUCAAAGCACGCUGCAGUGGCAGAGGAAACCAAAAUGCUACGCAAAACUCGCGGCGGAGCCCCGCUGCAGUCUCUUGCACAGCUCCACACGGCAGCGCACCACCGAGGGAAAACUGUGAUCAAAAGGCACUACACGGCAAAAACUUAGUUGCAGUCUCUUGUACAGCCCCACAACGGCAGCGCACCACCGAGGGAAAACUGUAAUCAAAAGACACUACACGGCAAAACUUCGUUGCAGUCUCUUGUACAAGAACACCCACGUCCUGCUCACCCCGCCACUAACUGCAACCACGGGCAAAAGAACCUUUGUCAAAACAACAGUACACCCAUAUUUAUAUUAUUAUAUGGACACAUUACAUAUAUAUACGUAUGUGUGUACGUGUGCACGGCUGGUGUGAUGAGACAAAUCAGCAAUCUUCAUAUAUGUGCGCGUGCGGUGAUGGAACAAAGCAAGGUCAGUGUGUGAACGUGUGUGUGUAUAUAUACACAUGACAAAGCCAUGCAAACAAAGUCUGUGUGUAUGUAUGUAUGUGAAAUGAAAGUCAAAGUUUCUGUGUGUGUGUAUAAGGCACAGCAACAAAUCCCAUAUAUAAAACAUAUAUGCGUACACAGUGAUAAUGACGGGACAAAUCAAUUUCCACAUACAUGUACAUGUGUGCACGGUAUCAAUCACAACCAACUUCCAUAUAUAUGUAUGCAUGCAGAAUGAUGGGACAGCCGCCAGCCAACUUAUAUAAUAUAUAUAUAUAUAUAUAUAUAUAUAUAUAUAUAUAUAUAUAUAUACAUGCAAAGCGACAGGACACUCAACAUAUAUAUAUAUAUAUAUAUAUAUAUAUAUAUAUAUAUAUAUAUAUAUAUAUAUAUAUAUAUAUAUAUAUAUAUAUGUACGUACAACAUGUCAAAAGCAUCUCAGGGUUAUAUAAAUAUAUAUAUAUAUAUAUAUAUAUAUAUAUAUAUAUAUAUAUAUAUAUAUAAGUGUAAGUAUGUGCGGCAUCCAAGAUGAGACAACUAAUCUCAAGGUUGUGUAUAUAUAUAUAAAUAAGUGUAAGUGUGUGCGGCUCCAGGCUAUAUAUAUAAAGGCUUGCUGUGUGCGGUUCCAGGACAUAUAUAUAUAUAAACGCCUGCUGCGUGCGGCUCUGGGACAUAUAUAUAUAUAUAUAUAUGCAUGGUGAUGGGUUAUACAUAUAAACGGACUCACGAAGUAAAAGCUGCAUCCUGCUAGCCGACUGCCUUCUUCUUCCCGUCUGCAGCACUGGUCAUCCCCUCCUCAACGCUUUGCACACCUUAAGCUCCAGCACCGAGACUCCCCUUGUCAAGCUCACUUCUGCAGCCUCAGACCACCGUCUCUGUCCAUCAAUGCGAAGCCAACCCGAACCCGUCGUUCGCCGUCAGGAUCCUCUCUGCUGCAUUUCCUUCCAGCACCGAGCUCAGUAGCAGCAAACGAGGAUCCUCCAGGAACAAUAGGCGCACUGUUAGUAGCAUGAGCAACAGAGGAUGCUACAUAAGAAAGCCCAGUCGACGAAGAUGUAGAGCUGAAAGAGGUAGCAAAAUACAGAGACUUACCAGCUAGCAGACGCGGGGAACGCAGGAAGCAGUGCACGCAGUCGUGAUCGCAGCCAGGUAGUAGCUGUGUGGUGAAUGUGCAGUGCCCUAUGUGUGUAUGUGUGUGCGUAUGCCUAUGUAUAUAUAUACAACGAUCUCAACGGUUGCAAAAGAAACGGAUCCGCAUACGAUGCAGUGACUGUGUAAACAGCAAUCCGCAUGCAGUGAAGAAUGCAGUACAAUAGCUGUUCGCAAACAAUGACCCGCGUGAAGAGAGGAGUGCAGAGAAUAAUGCAGUACAGUAGCUGUGCAAACAGUGAUCUGCGUGAAGAGAGGAGUGCAGAGAAUAAUGCAGUACGGUGACUGUCGCAAACAGUGAUCCGCGUGAAGAGAUGAACGCAGAGAAGAAUGUAGUAUAGUAGCUGUUCAAACAGUGAUCCGUGUGCAGAGAAGAACACAUGAAAAAAAAAAAAAAAAAAAAAAAAAAAAAAAAAAAAAAAAAAUGGUUGCAGUGACUGUGCAAAUAAAAAUGGUACAGAGAAGAAUACGAUGCAGCAAGGAAGACCCGUGCUCUCCACUUCGCUUCCCCUUUGAAGAAUCAUGUUCCUAGUUUCUUAAAUAUACAUAAUAAUAAAAAAAAAAAUGAUGAAAGGUGUUUGGUGCGCAACAUCCAUCAAAACAUAUGUAUACAAAUAGUGAAAUCUUGGUGUAUGGCACUACUCAAAAAAAAAAAAAAAAAAAAAAAAAAAAAAAAAAAAAAAAAAAAAAAAAAAAAAAAAAAAAAAAAAAAAAAAAAAAAAAAAAAAAUUGAAGGAAAGGUGGUGGCGACAAAAUCAUUGAAAGAUGGAAAAAUGGGAAGAAUGGUGCAUCAGGCACCAUCUAAAAGAAAGGUUAUGGGAUGACGCACAACAUCAUUUAAAAAAAA
Molecule: long non-coding RNA, 39106 nt
Filed under: Malus domestica (apple)
Lineage: Eukaryota; Viridiplantae; Streptophyta; Magnoliopsida; Rosales; Rosaceae
Description: long non-coding RNA (MDOM_LNC006651)
Source: RNAcentral